This 1224-nucleotide long non-coding RNA is filed under the name Mytilus galloprovincialis (Mediterranean mussel). Lineage: Eukaryota; Metazoa; Mollusca; Bivalvia; Mytilida; Mytilidae. The record is from RNAcentral.
UUUAUGUAUUUAUAUUUUUUUAGGGGGGACAGGACAACAAGAUAAAAACAAUCAUAUAAUCUUACAUCAUGUUUUAGUUUCCUUACUAUAUAGGGGAGAGAACUUCAUGUUCUAGUUUCCUUACUACAGGGCCACUAUAUAGGGGAGAGAACUUCAUGUUCUAGUUUCCUUACUACAGGGCCACUAUAUAGGGGAGAGAACUUCAUGUUUUAGUUUCCUUACUACAGGGCCACUAUAUAGGGGAGAGAACUAAGCUUAAUGCCACUUAUAGAUCUGUAUCAACCUUUAUUAUAUACUUAGUAGUAAAUACAGAUAUAUUGUAUGUGUAAUACAAUCAUUGGCAAUCGUGCUGUAUCAGCCACCCGUGAUGAUAUCGAUAUCAGCACGGUUGCAAAAGCUUUAUCACACCUUUAAUCUGUAUGACGUCAUGUCAUCGAUUGCAGUCACUGUUGCAAAGGCUUUCAAAUCCCUAAUCUGUAUGACGUCAUGUCAAACCUAUAAUCUGUAUGACGUCAUGUUACAUAAAAAACAUCUACUUGAGGUAUAUGUAUAUAAUAAAGUGUAUAUGAUAUGGCUUUUUCAAUAUCACACACCAUAUCAACCCUCAACCAAUAUAAACCCUCGAGCAGAGCUCUUGGGAUUAUAUUGGUGUCUCGGGUUGAUACAGAUGCGAUAUUGAAAAAGCCAUAUGAUAUUCUCUAUUUAUCACACAUGGGUUUUGCUCAUUGUGGAAGGCUGUACAGUGAACUUUAGUUUUCAUUUUCAAUUACUCUCUGGUUAAAAAUCGUAUCAAUGACAAUUAAAAGUCAUCUUCUUAUUUUUAUAAAGUUCCAAAAACUAAGUCUUAGACCUCCAAAUUGGCUAUACAUAUAUUAUAUUGGUUGCUCAGCACCACUGUUCACAGACAUUACUCUUUACAUGUUCAUAGUUACCAUACAAGGAAGUUUUUCUAUUUUCAUUUUAAAUAAGAGUAUGUUAUUCAGAAGAAAACCAUUGAUUUUUUUUUUUUUACAUAUUUGGCCAUAUUCAUUACUGUUAUAAAGGCAAUGGGCAUGCCGCAGCAACUGAUGACAAUUAAGGUUCACAUUGCCUAUUCCAGAGUGAUUUAAAUAAGGGAUAGUAAAGAUAUCUAACAGACAACCAUAAGUUAUUACGCUACCGAAAUUGACCAAAUAUCCUUCCUGUAGUAGUUAUAACUAUAUGCUAACACUACGCCAAUAUUGC